This 496-nucleotide ribosomal RNA is filed under the name uncultured bacterium. RNAcentral describes it as "partial 16S ribosomal RNA". It matches the Rfam family "Bacterial small subunit ribosomal RNA", at positions 29 to 507 of the family's 1533-position model. The record is from RNAcentral.
AUGAACGCUGGCGGCGUGCCUAAUACAUGCCAGUCGAGCGAACGGACGAGAAGCUUGCUUCUCUGAUGUUAGCGGCGGACGGGUGAGUAACACGUGGAUAACCUACCUAUAAGACUGGGAUAACUUCGGGAAACCGUAGCUAAUACCGGAUAAUAUUUUGAACCGCUUGGUUCAAAAGUGAAAGACGGUCUUGCUGUCACUUAUAGAUGGAUCCGCGCUGCAUUAGCUAGUUGGUAAGGUAACGGCUUACCAAGGCAACGAUGCAUAGCCGACCUGAGAGGGUGAUCGGCCACACUGGAACUGAGACACGGUCCAGACUCCUACGGGAGGCAGCAGUAGGGAAUCUUCCGCAAUGGGCGAAAGCCUGACGGAGCAACGCCGCGUGAGUGAUGAAGGUCUUCGGAUCGUAAAACUCUGUUAUUAGGGAAGAACAUAUGUGUAAGUAACUGUGCACAUCUUGACGGUACCUAAUCAGAAAGCCACGGCUAACUACGUG